RNAcentral lists this ribosomal RNA (253 nucleotides) under uncultured bacterium. RNAcentral's name for it is "partial 16S ribosomal RNA". It matches the Rfam family "Bacterial small subunit ribosomal RNA", at positions 524 to 776 of the family's 1533-position model. The record is from RNAcentral.
UACGUAGGGUGCAAGCGUUGUCCGGAAUUAUUGGGCGUAAGGAGCUUGUAGGCGGUUUGUCGCGUCUGCUGUGAAAUUUCGGGGCUCAACCCCGAACUUGCAGUGGGUACGGGCAGACUAGAGUGUGGUAGGGGAGACUGGAAUUCCUGGUGUAGCGGUGAAAUGCGCAGAUAUCAGGAGGAACACCGGUGGCGAAGGCGGGUCUCUGGGCCGUAACUGACGCUGAGGAGCGAAAGCGUGGGGAGCGAACAGG